Molecule: transfer RNA, 92 nt
Filed under: Hyaloscypha hepaticicola
Lineage: Eukaryota; Fungi; Ascomycota; Leotiomycetes; Helotiales; Hyaloscyphaceae
Description: tRNA-Gly
Rfam family: tRNA
About the family: Transfer RNA (tRNA) molecules are approximately 80 nucleotides in length.
Source: RNAcentral
GCGUUCGCGGAUUAGUGGUAAAAUCUAUCGUUGCCAAAUACGGAAGUAUUAGCAGCUUCGAUGGGCCCCGGGUUCGAUUCCCGGCGAAUGCA